RNAcentral lists this ribosomal RNA (1342 nucleotides) under uncultured bacterium. Its description in RNAcentral is "16S ribosomal RNA". It matches the Rfam family "Bacterial small subunit ribosomal RNA", at positions 28 to 1378 of the family's 1533-position model. The record is from RNAcentral.
GACGAACGCUGGCGGCGUGCUUAACACAUGCAAGUCGAACGGAAAGGCCCUGCUUUUGUGGGGUGCUCGAGUGGCGAACGGGUGAGUAACACGUGAGUAACCUGCCCUUGACUUUGGGAUAACUUCAGGAAACUGGGGCUAAUACCGGAUAGGAGCUCCUGCUGCAUGGUGGGGGUUGGAAAGUUUCGGCGGUUGGGGAUGGACUCGCGGCUUAUCAGCUUGUUGGUGGGGUAGUGGCUUACCAAGGCUUUGACGGGUAGCCGGCCUGAGAGGGUGACCGGCCACAUUGGGACUGAGAUACGGCCCAGACUCCUACGGGAGGCAGCAGUGGGGAAUAUUGCACAAUGGGCGGAAGCCUGAUGCAGCAACGCCGCGUGCGGGAUGACGGCCUUCGGGUUGUAAACCGCUUUCGCCUGUGACGAAGCGUGAGUGACGGUAAUGGGUAAAGAAGCACCGGCUAACUACGUGCCAGCAGCCGCGGUGAUACGUAGGGUGCGAGCGUUGUCCGGAUUUAUUGGGCGUAAAGGGCUCGUAGGUGGUUGAUCGCGUCGGAAGUGUAAUCUUGGGGCUUAACCCUGAGCGUGCUUUCGAUACGGGUUGACUUGAGGAAGGUAGGGGAGAAUGGAAUUCCUGGUGAGCGGUGGAAUGCGCAGAUAUCAGGAGGAACACCAGUGGCGAAGGCGGUUCUCUGGGCCUUUCCUGACGCUGAGGAGCGAAAGCGUGGGGAGCGAACAGGCUUAGAUACCCUGGUAGUCCACGCUGUAAACGGUGGGUACUAGGUGUGGGGUCCAUUCCACGGGUUCCGUGCCGUAGCUAACGCUUUAAGUACCCCGCCUGGGGAGUACGGCCGCAAGGCUAAAACUCAAAGGAAUUGACGGGGCCCCGCACAAGCGGCGGAGCAUGCGGAUUAAUUCGAUGCAACGCGUAGAACCUUACCUGGGUUUGACAUGGAUCGGGAGUGCUCAGAGAUGGGUGUGCCUCUUUUGGGGUCGGUUCACAGGUGGUGCAUGGCUGUCGUCAGCUCGUGUCGUGAGAUGUUGGGUUAAGUCCCGCAACGAGCGCAACCCUUGUUCACUGUUGCCAGCACGUUAUGGUGGGGACUCAGUGGAGACCGCCGGGGUCAACUCGGAGGAAGGUGGGGAUGACGUCAAGUCAUCAUACCCCUUAUGUCCAGGGCUUCACGCAUGCUACAAUGGCUGGUACAGAGAGUGGCGAGCCUGUGAGGGUGAGCGAAUCUCGGAAAGCCGGUCUCAGUUCGGAUUGGGGUCUGCAACUCGACCUCAUGAAGUCGGAGUCGCUAGUAAUCGCAGAUCAGCAACGCUGCGGUGAAUACGUUCCCGGG